Triticum aestivum (bread wheat) is the source of this 125-nucleotide non-coding RNA. NCBI's taxonomy places the organism in Eukaryota, Viridiplantae, Streptophyta, Magnoliopsida, Poales, Poaceae. The record is from Rfam.
AUAGUACUCCCUCCGCCCCGAAUUACUCGUCACGGAAAUGGAUAAAAAUGGAUUUAUCUAUAACUAAAAUACGCCUAGAUACAUCCAUUCCUGCGACAAGUAAUUCCGGACAGAGGGAGUACUUU